This 492-nucleotide ribosomal RNA is filed under the name uncultured bacterium. RNAcentral describes it as "partial 16S ribosomal RNA". It matches the Rfam family "Bacterial small subunit ribosomal RNA", at positions 29 to 507 of the family's 1533-position model. The record is from RNAcentral.
AGUGAACGCUGGCGGUAGGCCUAACACGUGCCAGUCGAACGGCAGCACAGUAAGAGCUUGCUCUUACGGGUGGCGAGUGGCGGACGGGUGAGGAAUACAUCGGAAUCUACCUUUUCGUGGGGGAUAACGUAGGGAAACUUACGCUAAUACCGCAUACGACCUACGGGUGAAAGCAGGGGAUCUUCGGACCUUGCGCGAUUGAAUGAGCCGAUGUCGGAUUAGCUAGUUGGCGGGGUAAAGGCCCACCAAGGCGACGAUCCGUAGCUGGUCUGAGAGGAUGAUCAGCCACACUGGAACUGAGACACGGUCCAGACUCCUACGGGAGGCAGCAGUGGGGAAUAUUGGACAAUGGGCGCAAGCCUGAUCCAGCCAUACCGCGUGGGUGAAGAAGGCCUUCGGGUUGUAAAGCCCUUUUGUUGGGAAAGAAAAGCAGCAGGUUAAUACCCCGCUGUUCUGACGGUACCCAAAGAAUAAGCACCGGCUAACUUCGUG